Molecule: transfer RNA, 108 nt
Filed under: Thermoplasmata archaeon
Lineage: Archaea; Methanobacteriati; Thermoplasmatota; Thermoplasmata
Description: tRNA-Thr
Rfam family: tRNA
About the family: Transfer RNA (tRNA) molecules are approximately 80 nucleotides in length. Their secondary structure includes four short double-helical elements and three loops (D, anti-codon, and T loops). Further hydrogen bonds mediate the characteristic L-shaped molecular structure. tRNAs have two regions of fundamental functional importance: the anti-codon, which is responsible for specific mRNA codon recognition, and the 3' end, to which the tRNAs corresponding amino acid is attached (by aminoacyl-tRNA synthetases). tRNAs cope with the degeneracy of the genetic code in two manners: having more than one tRNA (with a specific anti-codon) for a particular amino acid; and 'wobble' base-pairing, i.e. permitting non-standard base-pairing at the 3rd anti-codon position.
Source: RNAcentral
GCCGCCGUAGCUUAGCCCGGCAGAGCGUCUGAUUCGUAAUCAGAAGGUCGCGGGUUCAAAUGCAUUGCUUUGCCUCGCAAAGCAUGCCUGAAAAUCCCGCCGGCGGCU